Molecule: ribosomal RNA, 433 nt
Filed under: uncultured bacterium
Lineage: Bacteria
Description: partial 16S ribosomal RNA
Rfam family: Bacterial small subunit ribosomal RNA
Source: RNAcentral
AACGAACGCUGGCGGCAGGCCUAACACAUGCAAGUCGAGCGGACCCUUCGGGGUUAGCGGCGGACGGGUGAGUAACGCGUGGGAAUAUGCCCUUCUCUACGGAAUAGUCCUGGGAAACUGGGGGUAAUACCGUAUACGCCCUUUGGGGGAAAGAUUUAUCGGGGAAGGAUUAGCCCGCGUUGGAUUAGGUAGUUGGUGGGGUAAUGGCCUACCAAGCCGACGAUCCAUAGCUGGUUUGAGAGGAUGAUCAGCCACACUGGGACUGAGACACGGCCCAGACUCCUACGGGAGGCAGCAGUGGGGAAUCUUAGACAAUGGGGGCAACCCUGAUCGAGCCAUGCCGCGUGAGUGAUGAAGGCCUUAGGGUUGUAAAGCUCUUUCAGCUGGGAAGGUAAUGACGGUACCAGCAGAAGAAGCCCCGGCUAACUCCGUG